Molecule: long non-coding RNA, 377 nt
Filed under: Anas platyrhynchos platyrhynchos (common mallard)
Lineage: Eukaryota; Metazoa; Chordata; Aves; Anseriformes; Anatidae
Description: lncRNA (ENSAPLG00000024568.1)
Source: RNAcentral
UGGCGCACGUGGAGCCGGGCACGCUCACACUCACCCCCGGAGCCUUGCACGCUCAGCACGGGCCAUGCACGCUCGCACUCGGCCUCGUGAGCCUUGCACGCUCACCCCUAGAGCUUUGCACGCUCACCCCUAGAGCUUUGCACGCUCACCCCUGGAGCUUUGCACACUCACCCUCUUUGCACACUCAGCCCCGGAGCUUUGCAUGCUCACCCCCGGAGCCUUUGCACACUCGCUCUCCGGCCGCGCACGCUCCCCGCAGGGCCAUGCACGCUCCCGCUCAGCCUCCGGAGCCUUGCACGCUCGCCGUGCACCAGGCAGCCCCCGGGCCGUGCACGCUCGCCCCAGGCCGUGCACGCCGGCCCUCACCACCGAGCCAU